GUGCCAGCCGCCGCGGUAAUACCGGCAGUUCGAGUGAUGGCCGAUCUUAUUGGGCCUAAAGCGUCCGUAGCCGGCCGGGCAAGUCCGUUGGGAAAUCUGUUCGCUUAACGAACAGGCGUCCAGCGGAAACUGCUCGGCUUGGGACCGAAAGACCUGAGGGGUACGUCCGGGGUAGGAGUGAAAUCCUGUGAUCCUGGACGGACCGCCGAUGGGGAAACCACCUCAGGAGGACGGAUCCGACGGUGAGGGACGAAAGCUAGGGUCUCGAACCGGAUUAGAAACCCCAGUAGUCC
RNAcentral lists this ribosomal RNA (293 nucleotides) under uncultured bacterium. Its description in RNAcentral is "partial 16S ribosomal RNA". It matches the Rfam family "Archaeal small subunit ribosomal RNA", at positions 455 to 747 of the family's 1478-position model. The record is from RNAcentral.